This 1440-nucleotide small RNA is filed under the name Theobroma cacao (cacao). RNAcentral's name for it is "sRNA Tc07v2_g004180". The record is from RNAcentral. Lineage: Eukaryota; Viridiplantae; Streptophyta; Magnoliopsida; Malvales; Malvaceae.
UUUUCCAGACUGGAUACUUGAAUCUCACUUCCCCAAAGAUCUUUAUAUUUGCGAGUGCCUUGAAUCACCGUACUUGCAAGAAAGGAUGCAUAACCUCACCUCUUUACAACGAAUGAUAGUGGAAUCUUGCCCUAAUCUGAGUUCUUCUAGACAUUCUCUCAAAACACUUCUAAGUCGGGGGUGCCCUGAUUUAUACUCCUGGAGAAUGACGCAUUCUUGGUCCUCUUUAGAAGAAUUGAAUGUUCAAAAUUGCCCUAAUCUAAGGAAAUUGUUGGAUCGCAUACCAUUUUUAAUCCCUUGCCUCAAAACACUUAAGAUUUGUAAGUGCCCUGAAUUACAAGAAUUGCAAAGGAUGGAUCGCCUUACCUCUUUACAAGUAUUGUCAAUCAGUGAAUGUCCAAAAUUGUCGGAAAGAUGUGAAAAGGAAACCGGAAUCCUGUGGCAUCACAUUGCUCACAUCCCAUCUAUUAUAAUUGAUGGGCAACAGAUUCAAUGAUGAUCAUACAAUAUAUAGGACGAUUCAUCUUGCUAAUUUCCUUCCAGAGCAGACAGUUGUUGAAUUGAAACCAAGAGAAAUUUCUAUUGGAUUAUGGACUUUUUCUGAUAGUUUUAGAGAGAACAUACGGUUUUCAACGUGCCGAUGCCAUUGUGAAGUAGAGUUCUAGAAUCGGUGGAUCGGAGGCUUUACUCUCAACAGUGUCAUCACUAUCUAUGUUACAGUUUGAUGGCAAUUCUAUGUAAAAAAGACUGCACAACAUGCAACUCUUUCACCUUCUUUUCUCAAGAAGUGAACCUUGGUCUAAUGAUCUUGAAUUCGGUUAAUUGGGUUUUCAUUUAUUGCUUGUUAUAUAUGAGGAAUGUGCUUUGUAUAGAAUCCUCAAUAUUUUUGCAUUGCUCUAACAUUUAAGAUUUUUGUUUUCCAUAGAGAAAGAAGAGAUGCCAAUGACUUGCCUGCCAACUCCCUUCCAGCCAUUUUUGAAAUGCAGUUAGCUGUGAAUGGAGUCAACCAACACUUGCUAAGUAGUGGUUCGAGUGAUUGGGAAAACUGCCUGGAGAGCUGAGCUGGUUGGAAAACCCUUUUGCUUCUUUCAAAAUCAAUGUCAAAGUUCCAUCUUGGCCAUUCUUGGAGGUCUUUGAGCAGUGGCUUGAAUUCUAGUCUUUAGGCCUUUACUUAAUUAACCCAAACCGUUAAAGGGACCUAAACACAAAGGUUCUUUCAUAAUGUAGAUAUGGAGAAGACUUUUGGGAUACUACUAUGGGAUUUAAUAUUUGCCACGUUUGGGUGCUGCAACUACUGUAACCUCCUGCAUCAUAGUAAAAUCUCUUUCACCUUCGACCGUGGAUGUAGGUUAUUAAGCCGAACCACGUAAUUUUUCGUGUGUUUUAUUAUGUUAGAUUGUUUGCUUGUUAUUUAUCAUAAAAUUUGGUUCCACAUCUAUA